Long non-coding RNA from Hydractinia symbiolongicarpus, 1253 nucleotides. RefSeq lists it as uncharacterized. The record is from RefSeq and is a predicted model, not a curated record. The transcript is spliced from 3 exons. NCBI's taxonomy places the organism in Eukaryota, Metazoa, Cnidaria, Hydrozoa, Anthoathecata, Hydractiniidae.
UCUCGCUGCAAGAUUUGGGGAGAAUACGACGAGUCUCAGUGGUUUUCAAGGAGCAGCUGCAUUGGAACUUCGACAGCUGCAGUUUUUUUAUACUCACUGCAGAUGAAAAAUUCUUCAGAAUGGUUCACAGUAUGUUGAGGAGGUCGUCAGAAGAAUAAAGUUAGCGAAGCGAUGAAAAAAAAAUGAACGAGAACAAGUCGGGGUUACCAACACAAUAGUCGUAGUUAUGACAACGAAACAAACUUGUAAAAGCUCUGAGCGAAGAUUAAAAUGAAGAAAAAACACACGAAAGAAAGAAAAAAAUUGAAAGAAUGACAAGUUAAAGUUGGAACGGAGAAGUGAAAUAGAACGCCAUAUUUUUAUCAAAUCAACUUCAAAGUUUGUAGAAAAACAUUAGAAGCGAAACAAGCCUUACUCAAAAAUGCCUGAUGUGGUGUGACUUUGGGAUUUAAAUAUUUUGGAAGUGAAAAAAUAAAUUCCUGUAGAAAAGGUUUCUGCUGUACUUGGCUGUAAAGAAAGCUUGAUGCAGAAUGAAAAAGAGAUGACAAACGCAGAGAAACAAGAAACGCUGAAAUCUCACAGAGCAAAACUAUUUUAGGAUUACAUUCUGAAGGCGGGCAAGUGGAUAAAAAAUGAUCUUGAAAACGAAUACUCAAUGCAGGAAGUCUAAGACGGAAAAAGUCUAAGAAAAAAGAUUUUAUUUAAAAGCGAGGUUUGAAACGAUUUAAAUACGGACGGAAUUGGGUUGGGAGUUUUAAUGUGUUGAAAUUUGAAGAUACAUAAGGUGUUAUUAACUUACCGAAGUUUUUAAAUAGAAGUAUAAUCAGCCACUACUUGCUCUACCACACCAAAGCUGUCGAUAAAAUCAUUUUCUGUCAGUCCAUACUUUUCAUACUGAUGAAUAUACGCACGUGCGUUAAACAUACUCCACGCCUUUCUAAUGCAGUCAUUCAUUGGACGAAUAAAAGUUUGACUGUUCGAGACCAACGCUGCAGAUUUCUCGUAACGAUUGAAUGGGCGAGUCUGUCGCCAUUCGUGAUAACAAAAUGGCGGAGGAAUGACGCUUGCAUAUCUGAAAAUCAUAAGUGUUUAGCUUUUCGAAAACAUAUACAAAGAAGCGUGGUAUACAAGAGGUGACAAGAAGCGGUCAAGCGUGUUAAAAUUGUUUACAAGCGUAAAACACUGUUACUUUUUAUAAAAAGUUUCAAAAUUGUAGCUUAUGUUAAAUCAAGAUUACUCGCUAUAACUAGUUA